AGUGAGAUAGCUGGGUCAAAUGGUGGUUUCAUUCCAAGUUUUCUAAGGAAUCUCCAUACUACUUUCCGUAAUGGUUGCAUCAAUUUGCAGUCUCACCAGCAAU
RNAcentral lists this microRNA precursor (103 nucleotides) under Marmota monax (woodchuck). Lineage: Eukaryota; Metazoa; Chordata; Mammalia; Rodentia; Sciuridae. The record is from RNAcentral.